AGCAGGCAAGGCGGGACGUGUCGAUUACAAGGUCGCUGAGCUCUAGGGAGUCGACCCGUCAAGACGUCGUGGCCCUACAGUAAGAGGGCAUUGUGAUACUAUAAGUAGUUUAACAGUAAGUGAUCAUUUUAAAGAGUGGUUAUGUUAGGUACAUUAAAAAAGAGUAAAAUUGUGAGACUGGUUGGGUAGUGGUUAGGUUCAUUAAAAAAUACUUAACAGUGUGGACGGUUGUUUAUGUUAGGUUUCUUACAUUAGAUUUACUUUUAAAGUGUGUUAAGUGUUUGUUAGCUUCAUUAAAAAAAACAAUAAAAUAGUAAGGAUGUAACGUGUGUACCUGCGUACACAUGCAAAGGUUAGUGCCCCUGACUUGUCAAUGAAUACCACCCGCGCAACAGCGAGCGCGCGGCCGUUCAGACGCCGCGGCAGGAGGUCGGCCGUCGUCGGACGAGUUCGUGCGCCGUCGGCUGCGCGCGGAUCUGGAUGGAAACGGAAGUUGGGCUGGCUUCCUCCGAAUAGACGAGACUGUUCUUCCCGCUCGUCAGGGAAGUCAGCGCGUAUAAAGGGCAUGCGCCAAGUCAACUGAGGAGCAGAACAACUGGGACAUCAACGGGCAGGCUGCCACGCUGCUCCGACACCGCUCGCCGGCCUACACCGUCAAACUACCACGGAGUUGCUGCCGCCAGAGGACCAAGAAGAAUUCGACUGGUGGGAUCAUGUAUCAGCCGUUCGACAUCACAAGGACCCGGCUUAUUUACGACACAUGUCAGUUUGAGAUUCAAUGAAAUACGUGUUUGUGUUAUUGGGCUUGUUAAUAAAUUAUCCUUGGAAUGAA
Long non-coding RNA from Bacillus rossius redtenbacheri, 832 nucleotides. RefSeq lists it as uncharacterized. NCBI's taxonomy places the organism in Eukaryota, Metazoa, Arthropoda, Insecta, Phasmatodea, Bacillidae. The record is from RefSeq and is a predicted model, not a curated record. The transcript has 2 exons.